AACCCAUGAUGCAAGCAAAGUUUCAUCAUGUCCUUAUGCCUUUCCUAGGCUUCAAAAAGGGAUUCUCCACCAGCUUAUCUAAAACAAGUUAUUUGGUUUCUUAAUACU
Lathyrus oleraceus (garden pea) is the source of this 108-nucleotide small nucleolar RNA. NCBI's taxonomy places the organism in Eukaryota, Viridiplantae, Streptophyta, Magnoliopsida, Fabales, Fabaceae. The record is from RefSeq and is a predicted model, not a curated record.